This 815-nucleotide ribosomal RNA is filed under the name Lactarius cyathuliformis. Its description in RNAcentral is "eukaryotic LSU rRNA". The stretch from base 199 to 352 matches the Rfam family "5.8S ribosomal RNA". The record is from RNAcentral. Lineage: Eukaryota; Fungi; Basidiomycota; Agaricomycetes; Russulales; Russulaceae.
GGGCAUGUGAGGGCUGUCGCUGACUCAAAGUCGUGCACGCCCGAGUGUGUCCUCUCACAUAAUAAUCCAUCUCACCCUUUGUGCAUCGCCGCGUGAGCACCCUUUGGGAUCAUCUCGGAGGGGGCUCGCGUUUUCACACAAACCCCCCUUUUAAAAGUGUAGAAUGACCUCAUUUAUGCGCUAACACGCAAUCAAUACAACUUUCAACAACGGAUCUCUUGGCUCUCGCAUCGAUGAAGAACGCAGCGAAAUGCGAUACGUAAUGUGAAUUGCAGAAUUCAGUGAAUCAUCGAAUCUUUGAACGCACCUUGCGCCCCUUGGUAUUCCGAGGGGCACACCCGUUUGAGUGUCGUGAAAACCUCAACCUCCUUGGUUUCUUCUGGAGACCAAAGGCAGGCUUGGACUUUGGAGGCCCUUGCUGGAACCUCUCUCUUUUGAAGGCCAGCUCCUCUUAAACGAAUUAGCAGGGUCCUCUUUGCCGAUCCUCGACGUGUGAUAAGAUGUUUCCAUGUCUUGGUUUCUGGCUCUGUCACUUUUGGGACCCGCUUCUAACCGUCUUGACCUUGCAUCGAGACAAUGUUCGAGCAUGUCUCCCUUCUCGGGAAGCUCCCUCGACCCCACGAACCCUUGACCUCAAAUCGGGUGAGACUACCCGCUGAACUUAAGCAUAUCAAUAAGCGGAGGAAAAGAAACUAACAAGGAUUCCCCUAGUAACUGCGAGUGAAGCGGGAAAAGCUCAAAUUUAAAAUCUGGCGGUCUUUGGCCGUCCGAGUUGUAAUUUAGAGAAGCGUCUUCCGCGCUGGACCGUGUACAAA